Molecule: ribosomal RNA, 301 nt
Filed under: uncultured bacterium
Lineage: Bacteria
Description: partial 16S ribosomal RNA
Rfam family: Bacterial small subunit ribosomal RNA
Source: RNAcentral
CAGCAGCCGCGGUAAUACGUAGGGUGCAAGCGUUAAUCGGAAUUACUGGGCGUAAAGCGUGCGCAGGCGGCUUGUUAAGACAGAUGUGAAAUCCCCGGGCUCAACCUGGGAACUGCAUUUGUGACUGGCAAGCUAGAGUGUGGCAGAGGGGGGUGGAAUUCCGCGUGUAGCAGUGAAAUGCGUAGAUAUGCGGAGGAACACCGAUGGCGAAGGCAGCCCCCUGGGCCAACACUGACGCUCAUGCACGAAAGCGUGGGGAGCAAACAGGAUUAGAUACCCCGGUAGUCCCUGUCUCUUAUAC